AAUAGAUACCCGGGUAGUCCACCCCGUAAACGUUGGGACUAGUUGUGGGGUCCUUUCCACGGAUUCCGUGACGCAGCUAACGCAUUAAGUUCCCCGCCUGGGGGAGUACGGCCGCAAGGCUAAAACUCAAAGGAAUUGACGGGGACCCGCACAAGCGGCGGAGCAUGCGGAUUAAUUCGAUGCAACGCGAAGAACCUUACCAAGGCUUGACAUACACCGGAAACGGCCAGAGAUGGUCGCCCCGCAAGGUCGGUGUACAGGUGGUGCAUGGUUGUCGUCAGCUCGUGUCGUGAGAUGUUGGGUUAAGUCCCGCAACGAGCGCAACCCUCGUUCUAUGUUGCCAGCACGUCAUGGUGGGAACUCAUGGGAUACUGCCGGGGUCAACUCGGAGGAAGGUGGGGAUGACGUCAAAUCAUCAUGCCCCUUAUGUCUUGGGCUUCACGCAUGCUACAAUGGCCGGUACAAAGGGCUGCAAUACCGUGAGGUGGAGCGAAUCCCAAAAGCCGGUCCCAGUUCGGAUUGAGGUCUGCAACUCGACCUCA
RNAcentral lists this ribosomal RNA (542 nucleotides) under uncultured bacterium. RNAcentral's name for it is "bacterial SSU rRNA". It matches the Rfam family "Bacterial small subunit ribosomal RNA", at positions 777 to 1320 of the family's 1533-position model. The record is from RNAcentral.